GGAGUUCCAUCGCCGCAAACUUCCUCGGGUCAUGGCUGUACUUUUUCAAAACCCCAUGGCCCGAGGAUGUUGCCUGUGAUCCAGCUCA
Drosophila persimilis is the source of this 88-nucleotide non-coding RNA. The record is from Rfam. Lineage: Eukaryota; Metazoa; Arthropoda; Insecta; Diptera; Drosophilidae.